Triticum dicoccoides is the source of this 1652-nucleotide RNA transcript. RefSeq lists it as uncharacterized. The transcript is spliced from 4 exons. The record is from RefSeq and is a predicted model, not a curated record. Lineage: Eukaryota; Viridiplantae; Streptophyta; Magnoliopsida; Poales; Poaceae.
CCCAAUCCCCUCGCUCGCACGCCGCAUCCCUCCCUCUCUCCUCAGCCGCCACAACACGAAUCCACGAACCCUCUCCCUCUCCCUUGCGUGUGCCGGUGUGCGUGCUCAUCGCCUCCCACUCCCCAUCGUCCCCCCAUGCCUCCACCGGCUACCAUGGAUCCAUGGCCGAUGGGACAGUACAAGGCAGGGAAGGACGCCGCCGUUGACCUGUCGCUUAGGUUGGUGGCGCAUGGGUCGGGUCUGGGCAGAAGGCUGGCGCCUGCGGGAGAAAGCACCGGGGGUUGGUGCAGCGACAAAUGAGGACGGGGUGGGCCGUGGAGGGAGGCUCGCCGGAUGGAGAAGCCGGAGCAAGGAGGCAUGUUCGGCCAUGGAGGUAUGCCCUUUGGCCGGAGCAGCAGGAGUAACUGCAGCCGCUGGUCGGCCCCAUGCACCGCCUCAGCCCGCAUCGUCUGCUGCAGCCCGCACGGUCGAGAGGGGCAGUUGCGCCGUAGUUGGCGGCGAGUUCAGCGGCCGCCUCCUCCUCUCCUCUUCGAAUCCAAUGCCUAUGGGUUCUCCUAAGUUGGAUUGUUCAUCCUUCUUUGCUGGUGGUGUGCUCGUCCGUUGCAAUAGCCUUCGUGCGCUGGAUCAACACUGCCGGUUGACAUUGGUUGGUUUCUUCCUGUUCUGUCCUGCUUCCACCGUCGUAUCAUUCUGCCGUUGCCAUUGAGCAGGUUCGACGAUCUGCUAGGCUGCUGCAUCUGCAACUCUGUGCUGCUGUUCAAGGUUUGCUUGAUUCUUUCUGCCCUACAUGCUUGUUCUUUCUUGCUGCACAUAUGCUUCUCUUUCUCUAAGUACUGAAUUCUGAUGUGCUGUCUCUAGCUACAUGAAUUUACCUUUCUUCGUCGGUCUAAUUGUCUAUUGAUGGGCCAUUCAUGUUAUGGUUAUGUGAACUUUAGGAUGUAAUAAUAUAUGGUGUUUAAAUUUUUAUUUUUGUUAGCGCCUAUGAAUUUGCACUAAAGAGUCGUUCGAUAUCCAAGUUUCUAUAUAUAUUUUACAACAUUGCAGUCGUGUAUGCUCUGUAAAGAGCAUGUUUAAUUCGUUUGUUCCUUUUUUAGAUGUUCCGUAUCGGUGCAUAUUUUAAAUUGAUCCAUACUGUGCCAGUGAUUUUCUAAGAUUUUCCCAUAUCUUUUGGGGAAAUAAUUAUGCUUCAGGAAGAUGCUAAAUAAGCUGGUCAGCUCUGGGGCAAAAGGUCAGCUAAUCUGCUUGGCUGUUCCUCCCAAGGUGAUGAGAGAUUGCUUGUCAGCUAAUCUUCCACUGUGAGCAUGUUCUGCUUGUGAGCAGGCCAGUACUUUACACAUUUUACUACAGCAGCAAGGACGCUAUGCUUUGAAUAGUUGAGCCGCCCUCUGUUUGUUCGUCCAUGGGCAGAGUGGGUGGAGGUGCAGCGCCUCAGGAUGUAAGGCAGGGAUGGAAUGCUUUCUGUUCAUGAGCUGUUCUGCUAACACGUACUGUUGAGAAAAGAAAAGAAAGGAGCUUUUAAGUUCUUAAGAGGAGCAAGAGAGCUUCUAAGUUCUACACAUUAGAUCUAGCUUUCUUAUGUUGUUUGUCUAAUUGUUUUCUACUCCCUGUAUUUUCAGCUGUGUAAUAGUAAACACACCACUGUCUGUACUGUU